RNAcentral lists this transfer-messenger RNA (351 nucleotides) under Acutalibacteraceae. Its description in RNAcentral is "UMGS1532 sp902791335 Standard tmRNA". It matches the Rfam family "transfer-messenger RNA". Rfam says of the family: Bacterial tmRNA, also known as 10Sa RNA or SsrA, is named for its dual tRNA and mRNA-like properties. Its role is to liberate the mRNA from a stalled ribosome. To accomplish this part of the tmRNA is used as a reading frame that ends in a translation stop signal. The record is from RNAcentral. Lineage: Bacteria; Bacillati; Bacillota; Clostridia; Eubacteriales. RNAcentral also lists the same sequence under 1 other name.
GGGGGCGUAAAGGUUUCGACAGGAGCGUUGAAGAUCGGGAAGCGAGUAGCGGUGCGGAACCGCUUUAAAAGCCGCAAUUUUUUAAAAUUAAACGACAACAAUAAAGUUGCUCUUGCUGCUUAAUUAAAGCAGCCGUCCAACCCCGAAGUACCGCGGUCGGGGAAGGGCGUCAUUUAGCGGUGAACGUGAAUGCCGGACUGCUCCGUCCGACAUCAUGAUCUUGGAGCUACCGUAGCCAGAAAGCCUGUUGUUCGGCGUUUGGCGAGGGGAAUCUAAAAAGAACAACUGCACUCGGAGAAACCCUUUCGGAGAUACUUUUGGACACGGGUUCAAUUCCCGUCGCCUCCACCA